AGUGAACGCUGGCGGUAGGCCUAACACAUGCAAGUCGAACGGCAGCACAGUAAGAGCUUGCUCUUACGGGUGGCGAGUGGCGGACGGGUGAGGAAUACAUCGGAAUCUACUUUUUCGUGGGGGAUAACGUAGGGAAACUUAUGCUAAUACCGCAUACGACCUACGGGUGAAAGCAGGGGAUCUUCGGACCUUGCGCGAUUGAAUGAGCCGAUGUCGGAUUAGCUAGUUGGCGGGGUAAAGGCCCACCAAGGCGACGAUCCGUAGCUGGUCUGAGAGGAUGAUCAGCCACACUGGAACUGAGACACGGUCCAGACUCCUACGGGAGGCAGCAGUGGGGAAUAUUGGACAAUGGGCGCAAGCCUGAUCCAGCCAUACCGCGUGGGUGAAGAAGGCCUUCGGGUUGUAAAGCCCUUUUGUUGGGAAAGAAAAGCGGCAGGUUAAUACCCCGCUGUUCUGACGGUACCCAAAGAAUAAGCACCGGCUAACUUCGUG
Molecule: ribosomal RNA, 492 nt
Filed under: uncultured bacterium
Lineage: Bacteria
Description: partial 16S ribosomal RNA
Rfam family: Bacterial small subunit ribosomal RNA
Source: RNAcentral